GGCCUAACACAUGCAAGUCGAGCGAGAAAGCUCCUUCGGGAGUUAGUAAAGCGGCGAACGGGUGAGCAACACGUGAGAAUCUACCCUUUAGUGAGGAAUACCCUCGAGAAAUCGAGGCUAAUACUGCAUAAGUCCCUUCGGGGAGAAAGAUGGCCUCUUUGCUAUCGCUAAAGGAUGAGCUUGCGUACUAUUAGCUAGUUGGUGAGGUAAUGGCUCACCAAGGCGAUGAUGGUUAACCGGCCUGAGAGGGUGUACGGUCACACUGGAACUUAGACACGGUCCAGACUCCUACGGGAGGCAGCAGUGAGGAAUCUUGCGCAAUGGGCGAAAGCCUGACGCAGCGACGCCGCGUGAAGGAUGACGGUCUUCGGAUUGUAAACUUCUGUUAAGCGGGAAGAAAAGCCUAUUUCUAAUACAGAUAGGAUAUGACGGUACCGCUAGAGAAAGCAC
RNAcentral lists this ribosomal RNA (450 nucleotides) under uncultured bacterium. RNAcentral's name for it is "bacterial SSU rRNA". It matches the Rfam family "Bacterial small subunit ribosomal RNA", at positions 45 to 493 of the family's 1533-position model. The record is from RNAcentral.